GCGGAAGUGGCGAAAUUGGUAUACGCGCUGGAUUUAGGUUCCAGUGCCGCAAGGCGUGAGAGUUCGAGUCUCUCCUUCCGCACCA
RNAcentral lists this transfer RNA (85 nucleotides) under Haliea salexigens. Its description in RNAcentral is "tRNA-Leu". It matches the Rfam family "tRNA". From Rfam's summary of the family: Transfer RNA (tRNA) molecules are approximately 80 nucleotides in length. Their secondary structure includes four short double-helical elements and three loops (D, anti-codon, and T loops). Lineage: Bacteria; Pseudomonadati; Pseudomonadota; Gammaproteobacteria; Cellvibrionales; Halieaceae. RNAcentral also lists the same sequence under 17 other names. The record is from RNAcentral.